CACACACACACACACACACACACUCAAGUACAGCAGCACACUCACGUACACCAACACACUCAAGUACACCAGCACACUCAAGUAUACCAACACACUCAAGUUGCGUGUACUGUCCUUUGCCUGAAAGGCCCCUAAGAGCGUGUAUUCUUUGUGUUUUGGGUUUUUUUGUUUUGUU
Molecule: non-coding RNA, 175 nt
Organism: Peromyscus maniculatus bairdii (prairie deer mouse)
Lineage: Eukaryota; Metazoa; Chordata; Mammalia; Rodentia; Cricetidae
Source: RefSeq, a predicted model, not a curated record